UUUAGUGUGAUAAUGGCGUUUGA
RNAcentral lists this microRNA (23 nucleotides) under Homo sapiens (human). RNAcentral describes it as "hsa-miR-122b-5p". Its record names the gene hsa-miR-122b-5p. The record is from miRBase by way of RNAcentral. Lineage: Eukaryota; Metazoa; Chordata; Mammalia; Primates; Hominidae.